GGGGGGGGUGCCUAUACAUGCAGUCGAGCGAACAGAUAAGGAGCUUGCUCCUUUGACGUUAGCGGCGGACGGGUGAGUAACACGUGGGUAACCUACCUAUAAGACUGGGAUAACUUCGGGAAACCGGAGCUAAUACCGGAUAACAUUUGGAACCGCAUGGUUCUAAAGUGAAAGAUGGUUUUGCUAUCACUUAUAGAUGGACCCGCGCCGUAUUAGCUAGUUGGUAAGGUAACGGCUUACCAAGGCGACGAUACGUAGCCGACCUGAGAGGGUGAUCGGCCACACUGGAACUGAGACACGGUCCAGACUCCUACGGGAGGCAGCAGUAGGGAAUCUUCCGCAAUGGGCGAAAGCCUGACGGAGCAACGCCGCGUGAGUGAUGAAGGGUUUCGGCUCGUAAAACUCUGUUAUUAGGGAAGAACAAAUGUGUAAGUAACUGUGCACGUCUUGACGGUACCUAAUCAGAAAGCCACGGCUAACUACGUGCCAGCAGCCGCGGUAAUACGUAGGUGGCAAGCGUUAUCCGGAAUUAUUGGGCGUAAAGCGCGCGUAGGCGGUUUCUUAAGUCUGAUGUGAAAGCCCACGGCUCAACCGUGGAGGGUCAUUGGAAACUGGGAAACUUGAGUGCAGAAGAGGAAAGUGGAAUUCCAUGUGUAGCGGUGAAAUGCGCAGAGAUAUGGAGGAACACCAGUGGCGAAGGCGACUUUCUGGUCUGUAACUGACGCUGAUGUGCGAAAGCGUGGGGAUCAAACAGGAUUAGAUACCCUGGUAGUCCACGCCGUAAACGAUGAGUGCUAAGUGUUAGGGGGUUUCCGCCCCUUAGUGCUGCAGCUAACGCAUUAAGCACUCCGCCUGGGGAGUACGACCGCAAGGUUGAAACUCAAAGGAAUUGACGGGGACCCGCACAAGCGGUGGAGCAUGUGGUUUAAUUCGAAGCAACGCGAAGAACCUUACCAAAUCUUGACAUCCUUUGAAAACUCUAGAGAUAGAGCCUUCCCCUUCGGGGGACAAAGUGACAGGUGGUGCAUGGUUGUCGUCAGCUCGUGUCGUGAGAUGUUGGGUUAAGUCCCGCAACGAGCGCAACCCUUAAGCUUAGUUGCCAUCAUUAAGUUGGGCACUCUAGGUUGACUGCCGGUGACAAACCGGAGGAAGGUGGGGAUGACGUCAAAUCAUCAUGCCCCUUAUGAUUUGGGCUACACACGUGCUACAAUGGACAAUACAAAGGGCAGCUAAACCGCGAGGUCAUGCAAAUCCCAUAAAGUUGUUCUCAGUUCGGAUUGUAGUCUGCAACUCGACUACAUGAAGCUGGAAUCGCUAGUAAUCGUAGAUCAGCAUGCUACGGUGAAUACGUUCCCGGGUCUUGUACACACCGCCCGUCACACCACGAGAGUUUGUAACACCCGAAGCCGGUGGAGUAACCAUUUAUGGAGCUAGCCGUCGAAAGGGACA
RNAcentral lists this ribosomal RNA (1449 nucleotides) under Staphylococcus sp. jxk1-6. RNAcentral's name for it is "bacterial SSU rRNA". It matches the Rfam family "Bacterial small subunit ribosomal RNA". Lineage: Bacteria; Bacillati; Bacillota; Bacilli; Caryophanales; Staphylococcaceae. The record is from RNAcentral.